RNAcentral lists this ribosomal RNA (305 nucleotides) under uncultured bacterium. RNAcentral's name for it is "bacterial SSU rRNA". It matches the Rfam family "Bacterial small subunit ribosomal RNA", at positions 338 to 660 of the family's 1533-position model. The record is from RNAcentral.
CCUACGGGAGGCAGCAGUGGGGAAUAUUGCACAAUGGGGGGAACCCUGAUGCAGCAACGCCGCGUGAGUGAAGAAGUAUCUCGGUAUGUAAAGCUCUAUCAGCAGGGAGGAAAAUGACGGUACCUGACUAAGAAGCACCGGCUAAAUACGUGCCAGCAGCCGCGGUAAUACGUAUGGUGCAAGCGUUAUCCGGAUUUACUGGGUGUAAAGGGAGCGUAGACGGUAUGGCAAGUCUGAAGUGAAAGCCCAGGGCUUAACCCUGGGACUGCUUUGGAAACUGUUAGACUAGAGUGCUGGAGAGGUAA